This 403-nucleotide ribosomal RNA is filed under the name uncultured maize rhizosphere bacterium c6_23. Its description in RNAcentral is "bacterial SSU rRNA". It matches the Rfam family "Bacterial small subunit ribosomal RNA", at positions 114 to 504 of the family's 1533-position model. The record is from RNAcentral.
CACGUAGGCAACCUGCCCACAAGACAGGGAUAACUACCGGAAACGGUAGCUAAUACCCGAUACAUCCUUUUCCUGCAUGGGAGAAGGAGGAAAGGCGGAGCAAUCUGUCGCUUGUGGAUGGGCCUGCGGCGCAUUAGCUAGUUGGUGGGGUAAAGGCCUACCAAGGCGACGAUGCGUAGCCGACCUGAGAGGGUGAUCGGCCACACUGGGACUGAGACACGGCCCAGACUCCUACGGGAGGCAGCAGUAGGGAAUCUUCCGCAAUGGGCGAAAGCCUGACGGAGCAACGCCGCGUGAGUGAUGAAGGUUUUCGGAUCGUAAAGCUCUGUUGCCAGGGAAGAACGUCUUGUAGAGUAACUGCUACAAGAGUGACGGUACCUGAGAAGAAAGCCCGGCUAACUCA